CUUCCCUGCGCAGGCGCCCUUCGCCUGGCUUGUUCUGCCCCAGAGGUGCCAGGCAGUAAGGGGCAGGAGCACUUCCGGGAGCCCCUGACCCGGUCUUGGGUAACACGGCGGCCACGCCCACCUGGAGAAAGCCACCGGCGGCGCGUCCGGGUUAGAGACGGGACGUAGGGACGUACUGCGUGCGCGCGUACAAAGGUGAGCGCGCAUGGCGCGACAGAACUAGGAAAGCUCAGUAGGCCCCGGGGUGGCGCCGACUCUAGAUUUAGCAUCCUUGGGAAGUUCGUGCAGCGGCCUCCCUGAAAAUGGCAUUACAGCCCGGCAGAACCCCCCGACUCUGCGGCAGGACCUGCGGGGCCUCUCCGCCCUCGGUGACAGCUUCGGAGUGCGAACGGCUCCCCUUGGGUCUCCGGGGGAGCGCGGCUCCCGCAGGCAGAACGAAGCUGGGUCCGGGGCCUCAGAGCCUCCGCGUUGUAGUUGGGAGAGGUUCGAACGGGGCCUCAGCUGGCGAAGGGGAAAACGGACCUGUAUCCUGACCCGUGGAGCCCGCUCGAAAGCCGGGUGCUGGGGAUGUGGGCCGCCCUUCCGCCGUCCUUCUUCAAUAAGAAAUUCCUCAAGGGCAGACUGCGAAUCCACAGUCGUGAAGCCACCUAAUCGGCGUCAUACCUGGAAUGUUUGGAUUCCUGGUAUGAAGGGAAAGUAACAUUUAUUGGCUACUUGUCCACUGGAAGGCGUUGUCUUAUUUCUCAUUAACUCCUUGAAUCAGCAUUACCUCUUUUAUUACAGAUGACAAAACUACUUCAGCUUUAAAUAGUGUUUUGAGAGCAAGGACGAAAUCUCCAUUUCCUCCUUAGCUGCUGGUAGCUCGACGCUCACUGUUAAAAUAGGGAGGUGAUGAAACAACUCUUGUGUGAGACCGAAAGUCCAGGUGUGCAUCUUGGCUGUUUCCAAGUUAAUCAAGAAGAAUUAAGGAUUCGUUUCAUUCUAUCAAAAUUAUUUCUCAAUGCCAAGAUAUUUUGUGUGAUGUAGAUUCGGGGAUAGAGUGAGUAGCACAAUACCUGGGGAGAGUUAGGUGCUCAGCAGUUAGAAUUGUCCACACUUAUGAUUGCUUUUACCUAUGUGCCACUGUUCUACGCACUGAACAUAUCUCAAGUUAUUUAAUCUUAAGGACAGCCUUAUGAGCCAAUUACUAUUAUUACCCAUUUUACAGAUGAGGGAACUGAGACAAAUUUGCCGAAGGUCACACAACUAGUAGCAGAAUCAAGGGAAAAAAAAAAAAAAAAAAAAAAAAAA
Piliocolobus tephrosceles (Ugandan red Colobus) is the source of this 1290-nucleotide long non-coding RNA. RefSeq lists it as uncharacterized. The record is from RefSeq and is a predicted model, not a curated record. The transcript is spliced from 2 exons. NCBI's taxonomy places the organism in Eukaryota, Metazoa, Chordata, Mammalia, Primates, Cercopithecidae.